CCCUUAGACGUUCUGGGCCGCACGCGCGCUACACUGACCAGUGCAACAAGCAUCCGUCCUUGGCCGACAGGCCCGGGCAAUCUUUGAACGCUGGUCGUGAUGGGGAUAGACUUUUGCAAUUUUUGGUCUUCAACGAGGAAUUCCUAGUAAACGCAAGUCAUCAGCUUGCAUUGAUUACGUCCCUGCCCUUUGUACACACCGCCCGUCGCACCUACCGAUUGAAUGGUCCGGUGAAAUCUCGGGACGGCGGCUUGGUCGCUUGCGUCCGACUGCUGAAACUUGAUUAAACCAUAUCAUUUAGAGGAAGGUGAAGUCGUANCA
RNAcentral lists this ribosomal RNA (321 nucleotides) under uncultured eukaryote. Its description in RNAcentral is "partial 18S ribosomal RNA". It matches the Rfam family "Eukaryotic small subunit ribosomal RNA", at positions 1470 to 1796 of the family's 1831-position model. The record is from RNAcentral.